This 497-nucleotide ribosomal RNA is filed under the name uncultured bacterium. RNAcentral's name for it is "partial 16S ribosomal RNA". It matches the Rfam family "Bacterial small subunit ribosomal RNA", at positions 28 to 507 of the family's 1533-position model. The record is from RNAcentral.
GACGAACGCUGGCGGCGUGCCUAAUACAUGCAAGUAGAACGCUGAAACUUGGUGCUUGCACCGAGCGGAUGAGUUGCGAACGGGUGAGUAACGCGUAGGUAACCUGCCUGGUAGCGGGGGAUAACUAUUGGAAACGAUAGCUAAUACCGCAUAAGAGUAGAUGUUGCAUGACAUUUGCUUAAAAGGUGCAAUUGCACCACUACCAGAUGGACCUGCGUUGUAUUAGCUAGUUGGUGGGGUAACGGCUCACCAAGGCGACGAUACAUAGCCGACCUGAGAGGGUGAUUGGCCACACUGGGACUGAGACACGGCCCAGACUCCUACGGGAGGCAGCAGUAGGGAAUCUUCGGCAAUGGACGGAAGUCUGACCGAGCAACGCCGCGUGAGUGAAGAAGGUUUUCGGAUCGUAAAGCUCUGUUGUAAGAGAAGAACGAGUGUGAGAGUGGAAAGUUCACACUGUGACGGUAUCUUACCAGAAAGGGACGGCUAACUACGUG